RNAcentral lists this ribosomal RNA (253 nucleotides) under uncultured bacterium. RNAcentral describes it as "partial 16S ribosomal RNA". It matches the Rfam family "Bacterial small subunit ribosomal RNA", at positions 524 to 776 of the family's 1533-position model. The record is from RNAcentral.
UACGUAGGGACCAAGCGUUGUUCGGAUUUACUGGGCGUAAAGGGCGCGUAGGCGGCGUGGCAAGUCAUCUGUGAAAUCUCCGAGCUUAACUCGGAACGGUCAGAUGAUACUGCUGUGCUAGAGUACAGAAAGGGCAAUCGGAAUUCUUGGUGUAGCGGUGAAAUGCGUAGAUAUCAAGAGGAACACCUGAGGCGAAGGCGGGUUGCUAGGCUGAUACUGACGCUGAAGCGCGAAAGCUAGGGUAGCAAACGGG